AGAGUUUGAUCCUGGCUCAGGACGAACGCUGGCGGCGUGCUUAACACAUGCAAGUCGAACGGAAAGGCCCUUUCGGGGGUGCUCGAGUGGCGAACGGGUGAGUAACACGUGGGUGAUCUGCUGCACUUCGGGAUAAGCUUGGGAAACUGGGUCUAAUACCGGAUAGGACUACGGGACGCAUGUUUUGUGGUGGAAAGCUA
Molecule: ribosomal RNA, 200 nt
Filed under: uncultured bacterium
Lineage: Bacteria
Description: partial 16S ribosomal RNA
Rfam family: Bacterial small subunit ribosomal RNA
Source: RNAcentral